CUUGCUAAGUUUGAUGGCGACCGGCGCACGGGUGAGUAACACGUAUCCAACCUGCCGAUGACUCGGGGAUAGCCUUUCGAAAGAAAGAUUAAUACCCGAUGGCAUAGUUCUUCCGCAUGGUAGAACUAUUAAAGAAUUUCGGUCGUCGAUGGGGAUGCGUUCCAUUAGGUUGUUGGCGGGGUAACGGCCCACCAAGCCUUCGAUGGAUAGGGGUUCUGAGAGGAAGGUCCCCCACAUUGGAACUGAGACACGGUCCAAACUCCUACGGGAGGCAGCANG
RNAcentral lists this ribosomal RNA (279 nucleotides) under uncultured bacterium. Its description in RNAcentral is "partial 16S ribosomal RNA". It matches the Rfam family "Bacterial small subunit ribosomal RNA", at positions 76 to 353 of the family's 1533-position model. The record is from RNAcentral.